GUCGCUGGCUCUCUCUGGGAGCAUGUGCACGCCUGGUCCAAACUCUUCAUUUCAACCCCCUGUGCACUUUUUGUGAAUCGUGGAUGGAUAACUCUCGAGGUAACACUCGGUUGUGAGGAUUGUGCUUAAAAAGCAUCUCUCCUCUACAUCCACUUCCGCGGUUCACGUCUUUUCUACACACUACUAUUUAAACUUAGAAUGCUUAACAGUUGGGACUUUAGUGACCCUUCUUAAAUUUAAUACAACUUUCAACAACGGAUCUCUUGGCUCUCGCAUCGAUGAAGAACGCAGCGAAAUGCGAUAAGUAAUGUGAAUUGCAGAUUUCAGUGAAUCAUCGAAUCUUUGAACGCACCUUGCGCCUUGUGGUAUUCCGCAAGGCAUGCCCGUUUGAGUGUCAUUAAAUCAUCAACCUCAAAAAACUUUGUGUUUCUGAGGCUUGGUCUUGAGGGUUUUUGUAGGCUUUCUCAGUCUACUCCCUUUAAAUACAUUAGCGAGACUUCCCUGUGUUGACCGUCUCUUGGCGUGAUAAUUA
RNAcentral lists this unclassified non-coding RNA (532 nucleotides) under Myriococcum praecox. RNAcentral describes it as "sequence contains 18S rRNA gene, ITS1, 5.8S rRNA gene and ITS2". The stretch from base 244 to 397 matches the Rfam family "5.8S ribosomal RNA". The record is from RNAcentral. Lineage: Eukaryota; Fungi; Basidiomycota; Agaricomycetes; Agaricales; Stephanosporaceae.